GAGCGCCCGUAGCAUACGGGAGCGGCAGACGGGAGAGUAACACGUGGGAACGCGCCCUUCGGUUCGGAAUAACUCAGGGAAACUUGAGCUAAUACCGGAUACGCCCUUACGGGGAAAGAUUUAUUGCCGAAGGAACGGCCGGUCGAUUAGCUAGUUGGUGAGGUAACGGCUCACCAAGGCGACGAUCGGUAGCUGGUCUGAGAGGAUGACCAGCCUCACUGGGACUGAGACACGGCCCAGACUCCUACGGGAGGCAGCAGUGGGGAAUCAUUGGACAAUGGACGCAAGCCUGAUCCAACCAUGCCGCGUGAGUGAUGAAGGCCUUAGGGUUGUAAAGCUCUUUUAGCAGGGAAGAUAAUGACGGUACCUGCAGAAAAAGCCCCGGCUAACUUCGUGCCAGCAGCCGCGGUAAUACGAAGGGGGCUAGCGUUGCUCGGAAUUACUGGGCGUAAAGCGCACGUAGGCGGCUUCUUAAGUCGGUGGUGAAAUCCUGGAGCUCAACUCCAGAACUGCCUUCGAUACUGGGAAGCUCGAGUCCGGGAGAGGUGAGUGGAACUGCGAGUGUAGAGGUGAAAUUCGUAGAUAUUCGCAAGAACACCGAUGGCGAAGGCAGCCUUCUGGGCCAACACUGACGCUCAUGCACGAAAGCGUGGGGAGCAAACAG
RNAcentral lists this ribosomal RNA (664 nucleotides) under uncultured bacterium. Its description in RNAcentral is "bacterial SSU rRNA". It matches the Rfam family "Bacterial small subunit ribosomal RNA", at positions 64 to 775 of the family's 1533-position model. The record is from RNAcentral.